UGAGAUUUGAAAUAAUCAAUAUUAUUUGUCUUUAGGCGUCAAAUUUUAGAUUUUGGGGCUAGCUACUUAACUUUUGUACUUAGCUUAGCUGGACAAGUAGAUAGAGUUACUUGGUCUACAAUAAGUUCUUCAUGCCUCAACCUGCAGCCAGCAGAUUUUAGUUUCUGCUACACCAGUGUCCUUUAUACUGGUAUCAACAUAAUUUGGUCAAGUGGAGACACGUGUUGGACAUGUGGUUGGUCAGUGUAGGAUUGCUAUUCGAGCCGAGGAUAGAAAAGGACCCAGAGAAAAUGGAAACUGGGAUUUAGUCCUCUACGUGAACAGUGACGCCUUGACUUUUCCCAUUUCCUCUUCUUGUCUGUCCAGACGUAUGUGUUGAGUCCAGGUCAUGUUCAAGAGAGGACACUGCAUGUAGGGAGACCAUCAUGCUGCCAAGUUUACCAAUCUUCCCUUAGCCAGGGGAUCUCAACUCAUCUUCCCCACAUCCAGGGCCAGAGGUCCUCCCUCAGCGGCAAAAUCCGGGUCUGAAAAAUGAAACCAAUGCAGAAGUGCCAAAAAAUGCAGGUAAUUGAGUGGCUGCUUGAGAUUCUCCAAAGACCUCCCAUGUUAAAAUGCCUGACUGCCUAUGGCAGAAAUAAACAGGUUUACAGGCUGGUACAAAAUAUGGUUUUGGUCUCUAUAGCUGAUUUCCCCCUUCAUGAAAACUGCGAGGGGUGAAUUUUUAUACUACUUAGCCGUUUAAAUUAUAUUAAGGCUGUGGCUCAGGA
Micropterus salmoides (largemouth bass) is the source of this 767-nucleotide long non-coding RNA. RefSeq lists it as uncharacterized. The record is from RefSeq and is a predicted model, not a curated record. The transcript is spliced from 5 exons. Lineage: Eukaryota; Metazoa; Chordata; Actinopteri; Centrarchiformes; Centrarchidae.